RNAcentral lists this ribosomal RNA (251 nucleotides) under uncultured prokaryote. RNAcentral's name for it is "partial 16S rRNA". It matches the Rfam family "Bacterial small subunit ribosomal RNA", at positions 525 to 775 of the family's 1533-position model. The record is from RNAcentral.
ACGGAGGAUCCGAGCGUUAUCCGGAUUUACUGGGUUUAAAGGGUGCGUAGGCGGGCUCCUAAGUCAGCGGUGAAAGGCGGCGGCUCAACCGUCGGAAUGCCGUUGAUACUGGGGGCCUUGGAUGCGGUCGAGGCGGGUGGAAUGCCCGGUGUAGCGGUGAAAUGCUUAGAUAUCGGGCAGAACGCCGAUUGCGAAGGCAGCUCGCCAGGCCGUGAUCGACGCUGAGGCACGACAGCGUGGGGAUCGAACAG